UUUCUUCAUCAACUCUCCUUGUUGGUUCGAAUUCUGUUGGUUAUUUGAAGUCAGGCUGCCAGGUUUAUGUGAUAAGUUCAUAAAGGUACAAUGGUUAAGAAGAAAGAAGGACGACUUGGUGGAAAUAUUCCAGUCGGUCUAGUCAAACUCCAACCCGUCCCUCCCAAGGCUGUUCCUUUGUCAAUUGUCGUGUCUCGACAGCAAAGUAAGGUAGUUAAGCCUUCUUCAUCUACUGCUAAUGAUUCUAAAAUGGAU
This 255-nucleotide long non-coding RNA is filed under the name Olea europaea (common olive). Its description in RNAcentral is "long non-coding RNA (OEUR_LNC003194)". The record is from RNAcentral. Lineage: Eukaryota; Viridiplantae; Streptophyta; Magnoliopsida; Lamiales; Oleaceae.